RNAcentral lists this long non-coding RNA (378 nucleotides) under Setaria viridis. RNAcentral describes it as "long non-coding RNA (SVIR_LNC002158)". The record is from RNAcentral. Lineage: Eukaryota; Viridiplantae; Streptophyta; Magnoliopsida; Poales; Poaceae.
UCGACGGAAAAAGCUUGAACAGAACCGGCUUGAAAUUCCUUUUUCCGUAAAAAGAAAUCUUCGAAUUUACAGAAAAGUUUAUGUACAGAACUUGGAAAUGAAAACUAGGGGUAGAAACGCCUUAGCUGUUCUAUGUUCCAAGCAUUGCCGAAGAUCUGCCCGUCGGGGGUCGCUAGCUUGUAGGUGCCCGGCCGUAGUACUUGCGCGACGAUGAAAUGACCUUCCCACGGGGGAGUCAGCUUGUGCCGACCCCUGUUAUCCUGGACGAGGCGGAGCACCAAGUCGCCAACGUUGAAGGCUCGGCCUUGCACCUUGCGGCUGUGGUAACGUCGUAGGGCCUGCUGGUAUUUGGCCGAGUGGAGCAGGGCCAUGUCGCGC